RNAcentral lists this ribosomal RNA (465 nucleotides) under uncultured bacterium. RNAcentral describes it as "partial 16S ribosomal RNA". It matches the Rfam family "Bacterial small subunit ribosomal RNA", at positions 28 to 507 of the family's 1533-position model. The record is from RNAcentral.
GACGAACGCUGGCGGCGUGCUUAACACAUGCAAGUCGAACGGAAAGGCCCUGCUUGCAGGGUACUCGAGUGGCGAACGGGUGAGUAACACGUGGGUGAUCUGCCCUGCACUUCGGGAUAAGCCUGGGAAACUGGGUCUAAUACCGGGUAGGAGCCAUUUUUAGUGUGAUGGUUGGAAAGUUUUUUCGGUGUAGGAUGAGCUCGCGGCCUAUCAGCUUGUUGGUGGGGUAAUGGCCUACCAAGGCGGCGACGGGUAGCCGGCCUGAGAGGGUGGACGGCCACAUUGGGACUGAGAUACGGCCCAGACUCCUACGGGAGGCAGCAGUGGGGAAUAUUGCACAAUGGGCGCAAGCCUGAUGCAGCGACGCCGCGUGGGGGAUGACGGCCUUCGGGUUGUAAACUCCUUUCGCUAGGGACGAAGCUUUUUGUGACGGUACCUAGAGAAGAAGCACCGGCUAACUACGUG